CCCUUAGAUGUCCUGGGCCGCACGCGCGUUACACUGAUGCAUUCAACGAGCUUAUAACCUUGGCCGAGAGGCCUGGGCAAUCUUGUUAACGUGCAUCGUGAUAGGGAUAGAUUAUUGAAAUUAUUAAUCUUGAACGAGGAAUUCCUAGUAAACGCAGAUCAUCAAUCUGCAUUGAUUACGGCCCUGCCCUUUGUACACACCGCCCGUCGCACCUACCGAUUGGAUGGUCCGGUGAAGCCUCGGGAUUGUGGUUCUUGCCGCUUUAUUGUAGCGUGACCGCGAGAACUUGUCUAAACCUUAUCAUCUAGAGGAAGGUGAAGUCGUAACA
Molecule: ribosomal RNA, 328 nt
Filed under: uncultured eukaryote
Lineage: Eukaryota
Description: partial 18S ribosomal RNA
Rfam family: Eukaryotic small subunit ribosomal RNA
Source: RNAcentral